This 253-nucleotide ribosomal RNA is filed under the name uncultured bacterium. RNAcentral's name for it is "partial 16S ribosomal RNA". It matches the Rfam family "Bacterial small subunit ribosomal RNA", at positions 524 to 776 of the family's 1533-position model. The record is from RNAcentral.
UACGUAGGGGGCGAGCGUUGUCCGGAUUUAUUGGGCGUAAAGAGCGUGUAGGCGGCCAGGUAGGUCCGUUGUGAAAACUCGAGGCUCAACCUCGAGACGUCGAUGGAAACCAUCUGGCUAGAGUCCGGAAGAGGAGAGUGGAAUUCCUGGUGUAGCGGUGAAAUGCGCAGAUAUCAGGAAGAACACCUAUGGCGAAGGCAGCACUCUGGGACGGUACUGACGCUGAGACGCGAAAGCGUGGGGAGCGAACAGG